This 1410-nucleotide ribosomal RNA is filed under the name Triticum aestivum (bread wheat). RNAcentral's name for it is "partial small subunit ribosomal RNA". The record is from RNAcentral. Lineage: Eukaryota; Viridiplantae; Streptophyta; Magnoliopsida; Poales; Poaceae.
AAGAUGAACCGGCAAUGGAUGUACGGUGACAGACACACCUCCGAGUACAUUAAGGGCGUGCAUGAUUUUCUCGAAGUGGCUGAGGCAAACAAGCAGAAUGGUUUUAUGUGUUGUCCAUGCCCUACAUGUGGGAAUACGAAGUCUUACUCUGACCGGAAAAUCCUUCAUGCCCACCUGCUUUACAAGGGUUUCAUGCCACACUAUAAUGUUUGGACGAGGCACGGAGAAAUGGGGGUUAUGAUGGAAGACGGCGAAGAAGAAGAGGACGAUGACAACUAUGUGCCCCCUGAAUACGGUGAUGCUGCAACGGGGGAAGCUGCUGAAGAUCAAGAGGAACCAGACGAUGUGCCCAAUGAUGCUGCAAGGGGGGAAGCUGCUGAAGAUGAAGAGGAACCAGUGCCCGAUGAUGAUGAUCUCCGCCGGGUCAUUGUCGAUGCAAGGACGCAAUGCGAAAGUCAAAAGGAGAAGCUGAAGUUCGAUCGCAUGUUAGAGGAUCACACAAAAGGGUUGUACCCCAAUUGCGAAGAUGGCAACACAAAGCUCGGUACCGUACUGGAAUUGCUGCAGUGGAAGGCAGAGAAUGUUGUGCCUGACAAAGGAUUUGAGAAGCUAUUGAAAAUAUUGAAGAAGAAGCUUCCAAAGGAUAACGAAUUGCCCAACAGUACAUACGCAGCAAAGAAGGUCGUAUGCCCUCUAGGAUUGGAGGUGCAGAAGAUACAUGCAUGCCCUAAUGACUGCAUCCUCUACCGCGGUGCGUACAAGGAUCUGAACGCAUGCCCGGUAUGCGGUGCAUUGCGGUAUAAGAUCAGACGAGAUGACCCUGGUGAUGUUGACGGCGAGCCCCCCAGGAAGAGGGUUCCUGCGAAGGUGAUGUGGUAUGCUCCUAUAAUACCACGGUUGAAACGUCUGUUCAGAAACGAAGAGCAUGGCAAGUUGAUGCGAUGGCACAGUGAGGACCGUAAGAAAGACGGGAAGUUGAGAGCACCCACUGACGGGUCGCAGUGGAGAAAAAUCGAGAGAAAGUACUGGGCUGAGUUUGCAGCUGACCCAAGGAACGUAUGGUUCGGUUUAAGCGCGGAUGGCAUUAAUCCUUUCGGGGAGCAGAGCAGCAACCACAGCACCUGGCCCGUGACUCUAUGUAUGUAUAACCUUCCUCCUUGGAUGUGCAUGAAGCGGAAGUUCAUUAUGAUGCCAGUUCUCAUCCAAGGCCCUAAGCAACCCGGCAACGACAUUGAUGUGUACCUAAGGCCAUUAGUUAAAGAACUUUUACAGCUGUGGAAUGGAAACGGUGUACGUACGUGGGAUGAGCACAAACAGGAGGAAUUUAACCUGCACGCGUUGCUGUUUGUAACCAUCAACGAUUGGCCCGCUCUCAGUAACCUUUCAGGACAGACAAACAAGGGAUACCAC